RNAcentral lists this ribosomal RNA (493 nucleotides) under uncultured bacterium. Its description in RNAcentral is "partial 16S ribosomal RNA". It matches the Rfam family "Bacterial small subunit ribosomal RNA", at positions 29 to 523 of the family's 1533-position model. The record is from RNAcentral.
AUUGAACGCUGGCGGCAUGCUUUACACAUGCAAGUCGAACGGUAACAGGUUAAGCUGACGAGUGGCGAACGGGUGAGUAAUGCAUCGGAACGUGCCCGGUCGUGGGGGAUAACGCAGCGAAAGCUGCGCUAAUACCGCAUACGAUCUGAGGAUGAAAGCGGGGGACCGUAAGGCCUUGCGCGAUCGGAGCGGCCGAUGUCAGAUUAGGUAGUUGGUGGGGUAAAGGCUCACCAAGCCAACGAUCUGUAGCUGGUCUGAGAGGACGACCAGCCACACUGGGACUGAGAGACGGCCGAGACUCCGACGGGAGGCAGAAGUGGGGAAUUUUGGACAAUGGGCGAAAGCCUGAUCCAGCAAUGCCGCGUGCAGGAAGAAGGCCUUCGGGUUGUAAACUGCUUUUGUACGGAGCGAAAAGGUCUCCUCUAAUACAGGGGGCUCAUGACGGUACCGUAAGAAUAAGCACCGGCUAACUACGUGCCAGCAGCCGCCGUAA